RNAcentral lists this ribosomal RNA (253 nucleotides) under uncultured bacterium. RNAcentral describes it as "partial 16S ribosomal RNA". It matches the Rfam family "Bacterial small subunit ribosomal RNA", at positions 524 to 776 of the family's 1533-position model. The record is from RNAcentral.
UACGUAGGGUGCAAGCGUUGUCCGGAAUUAUUGGGCGUAAAGAGCUCGUAGGCGGUCUGUUGCGUCGGCUGUGAAAACCCGGGGCUCAACUCCGGGCCUGCAGCCGAGACGGGCAGACUAGAGUUCGGCAGGGGAGACUGGAAUUCCUGGUGUAGCGGUGAAAUGCGCAGAUAUCAGGAGGAACACCGGUGGCGAAGGCGGGUCUCUGGGCCGAUACUGACGCUGAGGAGCGAAAGCGUGGGGAGCGAACAGG